UGAUACCCCGGUAGUCCAUGCCGUAAACGUUGGGCACUAGGUGUGGGGCUCAUUCCACGAGUUCCGUGCCGCAGCAAACGCAUUAAGUGCCCCGCCUGGGGAGUACGGCCGCAAGGCUAAAACUCAAAGGAAUUGACGGGGGCCCGCACAAGCGGCGGAGCAUGCGGAUUAAUUCGAUGCAACGCGAAGAACCUUACCAAGGCUUGACAUGCACGGGAAGCCACCAGAGAUGGUGGUCUCUUUGGACACUCGUGCACAGGUGGUGCAUGGUUGUCGUCAGCUCGUGUCGUGAGAUGUUGGGUUAAGUCCCGCAACGAGCGCAACCCUCGUCCCAUGUUGCCAGCGGGUUAUGCCGGGGACUCAUGGGAGACUGCCGGGGUCAACUCGGAGGAAGGUGGGGAUGACGUCAAAUCAUCAUGCCCCUUAUGUCUUGGGCUUCACGCAUGCUACAAUGGCCGGUACAAAGGGCUGCGAUACCGUAAGGUGGAGCGAAUCCCAAAAAGCCGGUCUCAGUUCGGAUUGGGGU
Molecule: ribosomal RNA, 526 nt
Filed under: uncultured bacterium
Lineage: Bacteria
Description: bacterial SSU rRNA
Rfam family: Bacterial small subunit ribosomal RNA
Source: RNAcentral